This 573-nucleotide ribosomal RNA is filed under the name Triticum aestivum (bread wheat). RNAcentral describes it as "partial small subunit ribosomal RNA". Lineage: Eukaryota; Viridiplantae; Streptophyta; Magnoliopsida; Poales; Poaceae. The record is from RNAcentral.
AUGGAGGCGGCAUUGGUUCUGGUGGUGGCGGUGCUCCUUGGGUCCUCAGCCCUUGUUGCCUCAGAUUUCUGCGUGUGCCGGUCGGAGCAGCCGACGGCGGUGCUGCAGAAGGCGAUCGACUACGCGUGCGGGCAGGGCGCGGACUGCACGGCCAUCGCGCAGAGCGGGGCGUGCUACAGCCCCGACGAGGUCGCCGCGCACUGCUCCUGGGCCGCCAACAGCUACUUCCAGAAGUUCAGGUCCACCGGCGCCACCUGCGACUUCUCCGGCGCCGCCACCCUCUCCACCACCGACCCCAGUUUCUCUGGUUGCACGUUCCCAUCCAGUGCCAGUGCCGCCGGCACCACCACGGGAACCGGGACAGCCACGACGGGCACCGGCACCACCACGGGCACCGGGACGACCACGGGGGGCACCUUCAGCCCCGGGAUGGGCACCGGCUUCAACAGCACCGGGUUCAGCCCGACAACCGGGAGCAUGGACGGCACCGCCGCGGCGGCCGGCUUGCUUCCGUCGAUCAGACUGGCGGCCUCCAUCGCCGUCCUCCUCCUCUCCUACUUGGCGCUGCCAUGA